AAGGGUAUAGCUCAAGAGGUAGAGCAUAUGAUUAGCAUGCACAAGCUCCUGGGUUCAAUCCCCAGUACCUCCA
This is a transfer RNA of Camelus ferus (Wild Bactrian camel), 73 nucleotides long. It matches the Rfam family "tRNA". Rfam says of the family: Transfer RNA (tRNA) molecules are approximately 80 nucleotides in length. Their secondary structure includes four short double-helical elements and three loops (D, anti-codon, and T loops). Further hydrogen bonds mediate the characteristic L-shaped molecular structure. tRNAs have two regions of fundamental functional importance: the anti-codon, which is responsible for specific mRNA codon recognition, and the 3' end, to which the tRNAs corresponding amino acid is attached (by aminoacyl-tRNA synthetases). tRNAs cope with the degeneracy of the genetic code in two manners: having more than one tRNA (with a specific anti-codon) for a particular amino acid; and 'wobble' base-pairing, i.e. permitting non-standard base-pairing at the 3rd anti-codon position. Lineage: Eukaryota; Metazoa; Chordata; Mammalia; Artiodactyla; Camelidae. The record is from Rfam.